RNAcentral lists this ribosomal RNA (253 nucleotides) under uncultured bacterium. RNAcentral describes it as "partial 16S ribosomal RNA". It matches the Rfam family "Bacterial small subunit ribosomal RNA", at positions 524 to 776 of the family's 1533-position model. The record is from RNAcentral.
UACGAAGGGGGCGAGCGUUGUUCGGAUUUACUGGGCGUAAAGGGCGCGCAGGCGGCGCAUUUUGUCAGGCGUGAAAGCCCCGGGCUUAACCUGGGAACUGCGUUUGAUACGGAUGGGCUAGAGUUCGGGAGAGGAGAGUGGAAUUCCUGGUGUAGCGGUGAAAUGCGCAGAUAUCAGGAGGAACACCGGUGGCGAAGGCGGUUCUCUGGGCCUGUACUGACGCUGAGGAACGAAAGCGUGGGGAGCGAACAGG